AUUGAACGCUGGCGGCAUGCCUUACACAUGCAAGUCGAACGGCAGCACGGGUGCUUGCACCUGGUGGCGAGUGGCGAACGGGUGAGUAAUACAUCGGAACGUACCUUAUCGUGGGGGAUAACGCAGCGAAAGCUGUGCUAAUACCGCAUACGCCCUGAGGGGGAAAGCGGGGGAGCGCAAGACUUCGCGCGAUUAGAGCGGCCGAUGCCUGAUUAGCUUGUUGGUGGGGUAAAAGCCCACCAAGGCGACGAUCAGUAGCUGGUCUGAGAGGACGACCAGCCACACUGGGACUGAGACACGGCCCAGACUCCUACGGGAGGCUGCAGUGGGGAAUUUUGGACAAUGGGGGCAACCCUGAUCCAGCAAUGCCGCGUGAGUGAAGAAGGCCUUCGGGUUGUAAAGCUCUUUUGUCAGGGAAGAAACACCGGCUCUAACACAGUCCGGGAAUGACGGUACCUGAAGAAUAAGCACCGGCUAACUACGUGCCAGCCGCCGUAACAC
Molecule: ribosomal RNA, 501 nt
Filed under: uncultured bacterium
Lineage: Bacteria
Description: partial 16S ribosomal RNA
Rfam family: Bacterial small subunit ribosomal RNA
Source: RNAcentral